RNAcentral lists this long non-coding RNA (589 nucleotides) under Cercocebus atys (sooty mangabey). Its description in RNAcentral is "lncRNA (ENSCATG00000045384.1)". The record is from RNAcentral. Lineage: Eukaryota; Metazoa; Chordata; Mammalia; Primates; Cercopithecidae.
CAUUCCUGGCUUUAGUGUUCCUUGCUAACAUUUCUCUCUUGAAAGCAUAUCUUAUGCAGUUACUCUGUUUAUUUCCAAUCUCCUGCGUAAGAAUGUAGCUUCCUGAGGGCAAAGAUUUGGGUAUCUUUUGUUCACUGCUGUGACCUCGCUGUCCAGAGGAGUUAGGUCUAGCCCUCAGUAGACAGUCGGUAAAAGUUAAGUGACUUCAUGAAAGCGUCUUCUUCACAGCAGUACCCACAUUCUGUAUUGUGGUGUCAACACUGGCUCACUUUGAAAUGACUGGCCUCUAAUGUAGAGACAACCCAACCUUCAACACAGUCACUGCCCGACUCUUCAAAAGCCCUGUAACCACUGAGGAAAAUCCACAUUUUGGCUCUCACCGCGUCUAGGAUGCCUUCCCCGGAUGCUGCCACUUAUCCCUUGUCUCCCGCAAGCAGCCCAGUGCUGGCACUUUGUAGGUGUUUAUCGAGUCCCUGUGGCACUUACCUCUGGAAAUCCACAUCUGGCAUUUGAUGCUAUGCUGAAAUCAGCAAAUGCAGUCACAGACCAGCGCCAUGAUCUAACCAACCCAUUUUUCAGACAGGACGAU